AGCAUCACUAGCCAUGGCUUCAUUAAAAGAAUGGCCAAAGUUUGGGUCGACAUGUGCACCAUAGUCCCAAAACGACCUCCCAUGUGCGGUAACAAAUGGGGUAGGAUCAUCAUUUUGGAACCAGGUGCCAAGAAAAUGCCAAGGCUUUAUUAAAAUAGGAUCCAGUAGAGCUUUCAAAAAAGGUCUUACACUCAAGGGAUCACCCUUGAGCAGGAGUCGAGAAGCAUUAGUAAGAACAUACCCUUCUUCUUGGGGAUCUUCGCCUAGCUUUUGUUGUGCAAAGAAGCCAGAGUGAACUAAAAUGCGCAUAAGCCGGUAGAUGCUGCACGCUUUGGUGGCAUUGAUCGGCAGUGCAGCCACCAGGUCUGUAACUGUCAUGGGCUUCCCAUGGUUUUGGAUGAUAUCUGGAAUACCUAAAUCAAUUGCACAUUUUAGAGACAUGGAGUUUAUAAAGUUGAAGAUGUGAUUCCAUACGUGAGCUUGAGCUUGAAGUAGCUCAUUAACGUGCUCCCCAUUGACAUUGGCCACAUCCAUAUCUUAAUCUUAGCCAAGGUGUUACUAUUUUGCAAUGAAUCAGCUUUGCUAUGAAAUAUACUACAUGUAGACUAUAUUAUAUAAGGGAUGGCGUCAAUGAAUUUGCCCAUUAAUUAAUAUUUCUAACAAAUUAAACUUAUAGUCAAAAGGACGUAUUCAACUAGCUAGGGACAUGUUCUUUAAGUUUCACAUGAAAUAUAGCAUCUUAGAAAAUUAAAUAUGCACUCAAACAUUUUAUUUAAUAGCAGAUACAUAUUUUCUCCAAUUAAAGAAAUUAGAUAAUUCGAACCUUCAAAUUCUUCUUCUCUUAAUAAAAAAAAUCUACAUUUUCUCUUAUAUAAUAUUGAAAUAUAAAAUAUAACUCAGGACAGGGAUAGAUCUAGGAUUUAGUUUAGUGGGGGCAUUUAAUAUAAAUAAUAUUAAAUAUAAAAAUAUAUAAAAAUAAAUUAACUCAAAUGCAUAAUAGAUUAUUUUGUUUAUACAUAAAGAUAACACAUUAUAAUUAUUUUUUAUAGGUUUUUUAGUGUGCAAUAAACUUUUCAAACACUAUCUCUUUGAUUAGAAUGAAAGUUCAAAAUAUUUUUUUUCAUAAUUUUGGAUUUGAUGAAAAUCAUCUAAAUCUAAUUAAAUAUGAAUUUAUUUUAUAAAAUAUUGUGUGUCGCUAUUAUUGAUUUUGGAUGAUUUUUUUAAAAUUGACUUUUUCUUUAUAAGAUAUUUUUUCAUAACUAAUUUAAUUAAAUAAUUUAGUUUAUAUAAUUUCUAAAAAAUAAGAAGAUAAUGUUAUAGUUUAUCUGAUCAAAGUAUCUGUCUUUCUAAAGAAGAAUGGACAGGAAUCAAGCUUUGUCCCUAAUAUUAAUAUUUGUGCCAUUAAUUAAGAAGAAUUGACUGUAAUCGAACUAUUAACAAAAUCAUAUAUAUGUAUAUAUAGUUUAUCAUCAUUUUCUGUGUUAUAUGAAGAAAAACAGGAAUCAAACAAUCAAACAAUCUGUCCCUACCUCUCUCUGGUUCCUUUCCUCUAAAAUCUCCAGCGAUCCUUAGCCUCUCUUGCAUAAUCUAUAUCCUAUAUGUAAAAGCUAACCCUAAGGGAUAGUAUAUGCACAUGCGACAACUUGGAGAUGCGGGUUCUGUACGAUUUGCCAUUCUUCGUGCAAAAGGCCCCCAAGAAAAAAUAAUUGUUCCAAUAAUUCCAAACGCCUGAAACUUAUGAUACCCACCUACGGGCCUACUCCCUAUUAGUAUUAUAUCAUGAUUUUCCAAUAAUUUUGCUUUAGAAUUCAAAUCUAUAUCCUAUCUAAAAAAUCUAUCCCUAAAAUAUAAUAUAUUGAUAUGCGGUAAAUCUAUUCCUUGCUAUGUGUUAUUUUUUAUUAUUUUAAAAAUUUUUGAAAUAUUUUUAAUGAUUAAUAUAUUAAUAUGUGACGUUUUUUUAUUUACCAUAUGAAAAUUUUUAAAAUAAAAAAAUUUCAAAAAAAUUAUUUACUUAAUUAUAAUUAUAAUAAAAAAAUAAUAGUAGUUGAAUAUAGAGAUGAUGAUGUGUUGUUGGUAAUUAUAAUACCUUAAAAUGCUUUUGUAAAGAAAAAAAUAAGCACCUAGAUAUAUUUGAUAUACUGUCAAUAAAUCAGAUGAUAUUAUUUCAUUAAUGAUCAAAUAUUAACUUUUAAAAUAAAUAUACAAAAUUUAAUAUUUUUUAAAAACUUAUUUAUUAAUGAAGUGUUAUAAUUUGAUUCAUUUCAUCAAUAAAAUUGUAUCAUUUAAUUCACUGUAUAGAUAAAUCAAUAAAAAUAAAUGAUAAAUAAAUCAAUAAAACUAAAGAUAAAUCAAUAGAAAUAAAUGAUAAAUAAAAAAUUAAUAACAAAUAAAUAAAUGAAUAAUCAACGCUAGAUAUAUAUAAAAAGAUAAAACCUAAAAUAAAUAAAUAUAAAAAUAUAAAACUUAAAAAUAAAAUGAGUAAUUGGGCUUAAAUAGAUUUAGACCCAUUUGAUUCGGCCCAUACCAAAUGUGAUGUCUACAAUUUACAUGCGAAAACCUGAAUUCAUUACAAAUAUCAUUUUGCUUGGUUUGGUUCAUACUUAUUUUACUGUUUGUUUUUACUAUAUAUAUUUGUUAUCAUGCACGAUGCAAAGGGCUAUUUGUUGUAGUUUUCAUGUAUUUAUGCUUGGGUUUAGACGUUUUAAUAUCCUUGCUGUAGUGUAUGUGAUCCUAAUCUUUGUGGAGCCUUGUUUCUUCUUGCGUGCAGUUCUGUUAUAGCUGCAUGUAUAAUCCAUGAAUAAAAUCCAUGUUUUGGCUUAGGAAAAAAAAUAAACAAAAUAAAACUUCAAAGCUUGAUUGAAUGGUCUUUACCCUUUUUAAGAGGUUUGAUAGCAACCCAUUUCUUGGAAUUUAUCUCCCAAUUAUUUCUUUCAACCUAAAUCCUGGAUUGCACGCAAAGCUAUCUUGUAUCUCGAGUACGGUCUUCCUUGGAUGAUGGGUUUUCACUUGAAGUAGAAUUAAUUACGUAUUUGUUAUCUAAAUUUUGGCAAAUGUUCUGUUUCAUACCUACAUAUUAAAUGUGUUUGGUAUCCAAAUUUUGGCAAAUAUUCAGUUUGAUACCUAAUAUAUAAAAUGUGUAACACGAUACUCGAAAUUUAUUUUCAUUUUUUUAGCAACAUUAUGGCUAGAGAUUUUUUAGCAACAGAAUCCGUCACCUCUAGUCUCAUCUACUUGCUACAAACACAAAAAAAUUAAAAUUAAAAUAAAGGUUAAAUUAUUUUAUUUUUUAAACAAAUUUUUAUAAUUUUAAUUUACGUAAAUAAAUCAUUAUCUUCUUAUUUAUAUUUAAAUGAACCUUUACUUUAAAGAUAUGAUUGAUUUAUAUUAGAGAUUAUAUUUGAUAUAUUAUCAUUGUAAAAAUUUUUAUAUACUAUCAAUAAAUCAGAUGAUAUUAUUUUAUUAAUGAUCAAAUAUCAACUUUUAAAAUAAAUAUACAAAAAUUAAUAUUUUUUAAAAUUUAUUUAUUAAUAAAGUGUCAUCAUUUGAUUUAUUUUAUUAAUGAAAUUAUAUCAUUCAAUUUAUUGUAUAGAUUUUAUACAUUGAUAAUAUAUAAAAUUUUUUAUAUUUUUGGAUAAAAAUUAAAUUAUCCUCUAAAAUAGUGAUGUAAUAAUUUUCAUGAAUAAAUUAUUAUAACUUUUAAAAUAAUCAACUUAUAUCAAAUACUACUUUAAUGAGGCAUGAUCGCAUCAUACGUGUGUUUGGAUAACAAAUAUUAUUGUGACGAAAAGAUUUUAAUAGUGCUGGAGCUUCAGUUAGAACCUAGACCUUCAUAGCUUUAGCGAAGAGACGCAAGUUUUAACUGCAACAAUUCUUCAUUACCAUCCUCUCGUCCUACUAAUUUUUUUCAAUACUUUAUUAAUUUUUUCAACACUAGUCUUUCUUUUUUCAUUUUGUUUUACUUUAAUUUUUUUACUUAAAAUUUUUCAAAAAAAUUAUUUUUUUACAUCAUCAAAUUAUGAAUUUAAUUAUUUAUUAAUAAAAUUAUUAUUUGGUAUAGAAUAAUUUAAUAAAUUUUAAAUUAUUUGUUAAUUUUAUAAAUAUUAAAUAAGUUAUUAUUUUUAAUAUAUAUAAAUUUUAAUUUAAUAUCUUUAAUAAUCAUUUUCUAUUUUUACUAUAAUUCACCUCACUAAUAUUAUUAUUUUUAUAUUUUAAUCUUAUCAUUAUAAUAAUUAAUCUUUUUUUUACUAUAAUCUUUUUUACUAUAGUUUUACUAUAAUCUUAUCAUUAUAAUAAUUAAUCUUAUUUUUAUCAUUGUUUAUAAUUUCAUCGGAACCAACUUAUUACCCAUCCAAAUGAACCAGAAGUUAAAGAUAAAGAUACGUUAACUAUAAUCCUAAUUGUUGUAAUCAUUGUUAAGAAAAAUGUUUACUGGUGUAGUAGAUUAUUAUGCUAAACUUUUAAAUAUAAAAUUAAUUAUUAAUAAUAUUUUACCACAUCAUUCCAACUUCAUUUGUUUUUCAAAGAUUUAUACUCCUUUCAAAAUUCAUAAAACUUUAUUUCUUUGUGAGAGAACGUUUGAGAGGACCCAAAUCGAAUAAUUAUCAUUAUACAAUUCGUAUUCAUUUAAGCAGUACAACAAAUGUAGUAGUUAAUUUUAUACAAUUUACAAAACAAUUAAAUCUAUCCGUAGGCUCCAUGAGUCGAGUUAUUUGCUCGGCAUGUGAGUCUGGCCCAACUUGAGUAGGGCUUUGGGCAUAAGUUUUGGAUCUCGGGUUUUAUUAAUAAUUUUUAUUUUUAUUUAAUUUUAUUUUUAAAAUAAAAUAAUAAUAUUUGCUUAUUUUCACAUUUAAAUAUUUUAAAAAUUUUGUUUAAAAACAUUCACAUUCGGACCUCAUUGGCCCAAUGGCUUAAACUAAAUCAAGUCGUGGACAAAACUUUUGAAUGGUUUAUUGGGCUUGACUCGACUCAUCUUAUUUAUGAAUAAAUUUAACUCAAAGCAAAUAAUUCAAAUAAAUUUUUAGGAUACCGAAUCUAAUUAGUAUUUUUCAAACAAUCAUUAGAAAAAUGAAAUUAAAAAAAUUUAAUUUUAGUUUUUAAGCAUAAUUUUCAAAACCUUAUUACUUAAAUUAAAUUAAAAUUAUGAAAGCAGAGAAAUUUAUUUUAAUAUAAAUUUUUGGUAAAAACUAAAAUGAAUAAACUUUAAAUAGAUUGACAAAGAAUGAAAAUAUUUGUUUUUGUAAAAUGUUAAGAAAUCAAAAUCCAAAAAAUUUCCAGAGAUUAAAAUAAUAGAAUAGAUACAAAUCCAAGGACAUAGAAGCAAAAUCUCCUAAAAGGAGAGAAACCCCGCAAUUAUUAAUGGUAAUUUUAUGGCAUGAUCUUGAAUUAUGUAUGUCAUUUGAUAAUAAAGUAUUGCCUGGACUUCUUUCAUCUGAAACAUGUCAUUUUAUCAAUUUAACCCCGUAUAAACAAAAUUAAAAAUAAAAAACCCAUAGAAACAAUAAAAAAAGGAAUAUUAUUAGUAUAAAAAACUUUGAUUUCAUACAAGUGGCAAAAUAUACAAGGUAUUAAUUGCAAAUAAAGUUUUUUUAUCAAAAAGAAAUUUAUUUAAUAUUAUAAAAUAAAAUUUUGUUUUAUAUUAUGAUUUCUUAUACAUUUUCUUAUAAUUUUUAAUUAUAUAAAUAAGUAUAUAUUAACUUAUUAAUUCAUUUUUUAAAUUUAUUUCAUGCACAUCUCUUCUUAAUUAUAUCUUAAUUAAUUCUUUUCAUAAGAAAAACAUUACAUGUACAUUAUAUGUAUAAUUUAAGUUAAAUUAUGUCAAUAAUUCCUGUACACUAUCAAAAUUUAAAAUUUAAUCUAUUUAUUAUAAUUUAUAUAUCAUUUGGAUUUGAUAAUUUUAAUUUAAUUAUUAAUUUUAUCAAAUUUUUACCCUUAUACUUAGUAACAUAAUCGUUGAUGACAUAAAUAUUGUCUUUACUGACGUAAAAUCUCCUCCAUAUCAUUCUGAAAGCCAUUAGCUUCAUCACAUGAUCCAAGAACUCCCAUAUGACACAAUCGUAAACCUUUUUGAAAUCCAGUUUCAAUAUGAUUCCUCCCCCGACUCACAUUAUUCUUCUUCGAUGAAUCAAUCACCUUAUUUACCAAUAGAAUAUCCUCUAAAAUUUGUUUUCCGGCCAAAAAUCACUCUAUGUAUCACUUAUAAGGCUACCCGUCACUGCCGUUAGCCUUUUUGACAUAAUCUUUGCCAAAAUUCAUUAUGGAGAAUUAAUAAGACUAAUAAGCUUAUAAUCUUUGCAAUAUCAUCAAAGUUUUCAAAAUUUUUUUCCAAACCUACAUGUUUACUUCAAUUUCACCAUAAUAGUUUUAUUCAAAUUCUUCAUAAACAGCUUCAGUUUAUUAAUUUUUUUUAAUCAAACAAAGGCCUGCUCUACCACAAACCUCACAUUAUUCCAUUCUUUCUCGACUUCCCUAAGGAAACCUUUCUUUGGUACCAAUAAUUCAUAAUUUUAGGGAAACACCUUAAGUUAAACUAUACCUCUUAAGUGAAAACAAAAUUAUAUCAAAAUCAGGACAGCCGCUGAACCAUUGCCUUAACUCCCUCCAUUUGCAAAUUAUAACCUCGUCCUCACAACUAGCAUUCAUCCCUAACAUUUCCCUAUUCUCCACGUUACUUCAGCGUCUUCCAUACAUAAAGCCCUCCUUCUAUUUUGAAAAUCUCCAUCUAUAACUGAAUCAUUAACAAUGAUGUCCUUGGAUUUGUGUUUUAGAUCCCUCAGCUCUCUACUUAAUUUCUUCCCCUUUCUUCUUCUUUCCCAAGUAGCUUCACAAUUAAACUCCUCAAUCUCAACAAGACUUUGGCUUUUCUAGCUUUCCUUCCAGAUUGAUGAACGUGCCCUAUAUUAUUAUGGUCACAAUCUAUAACGGUGUUAAAAUUAGGCAUAACAGCCAAGGCCCCCCUCAGACCCAACGUUCUUUAAUUGUGAUCCAUCUAGUAGUCCAUUAAAAACAACGGUAUUAGGCCAAUGUCAGCUUUCUCUUUCUGCCUCAACUCACUAUUGAACUCGUCCACAACAGCUUCUUCCACACAAUUGGGGCUUAACCGGGUUCUCCAUCUCACACUUCGAAACGGCAUUGUCCAUCUUCCCUUUAAGUUUGACACUGCUUAUUUAACAAUCCUGACAUUUUCCAAAUUCUUUUUCAUUAAAUUAAGAGUUUAUAUUUGAUAUAUUAUCGGUAUAUAAAUUUUAUAUAUUAUUAGUUAAUUAAAUAAUAUAAUCUCGUUAAUAAAAUAAAUCAGAUGAUAUUAUUUUAUUAAUAAAUUUUUUAUUUAAAUUUUAUAUAUUUAUUUUAAAAAUUAAUAUUUAUUCAUUAAUAAAAUAAUAUUAUCUAAUUAAUUUUCUGAUAAUAUAUAAAAUUUAUACACAAAUUAUAUAUCAAAUAUUUUAAACGAGCUUUAAUUAAUUAUAAUAAAGAAGUAUAUUUUUAUUAAUUGAAGCUCGCUUAAAAUAUGUUCUCUAUUCGACAAGAAACUCAAUUGGUGGAGCCAUUUUAUAUAAUAAGAAUAAAUUGAAAGUGCAUGCCAGUAGUAAUUAGCAACAUCAAUGAUUUCAACGCGGAUUUAACUUGAUUAAAGAGAAGGGCUGUUUUAUUUCAUAUAUAAUAUUAAGACAAUAGAUUAGGAGAGACAAGUACAAAGCAACAAAUGUUACAAUAAGAUGAAGGUUCAUUAAAAUUAUUACAAUUAUUACAGCAGUAAAGCAAGGGUCUCUUAGGGGUAAACCUCAAUGAGAGAUCUUAAACCAAGUUUAUGAGUAAUUUUAUAGUCAGUAAAACCAGCAGCAAAAAACAGCUUAGCCCAUUCUUCUUGGUUCCUCUCUCUUCCAGUGGCCACGACCAUCAUCUCCAUGUCGAAGAAGAGUUGUGUUUCAAUCGAUUCCUGAUCAUUCACUUUCUGCUUCUGAUCCAUCAAUAUCAUUUCUAUUAUAAUCACCUUCACUCCCACCUUGUCGCGGUUUGAAAUUGCCCCUUUACAUCGUUUCAAAAUCUUCACACAUUCUUCGUCAUUCCAGUCGUGCAAUAUCCACUGUUUUGUUAUAAAUAAUAAAGUUAUCAAUAGAUAGUUUAUUUCGAUUUGAAUUUUGAGCUGAUUUCAUGUAUAGUUAAUUUGCAAAUUCCUCUAUUUCACUUUUGUGGCAAUAUAUUCCCUUUGAUAGAUACUUGUACAAACAGGAUUUAAAUGGGUUUAAAUUUGGGAGAUAUCACCUGGUAUUAAUUUAAAAAAUGAAAGGGUUUAUUUGGACGAAUUCAAGUAAGGCAAUUUUUCACUCUAAUUAUAGUCUACAGCUCGAAUAGGAGGCUAAAAACUUAUACUCCAUAUGCGGAAAAUAAGACAAGACCAGAGAAACAAGCCCAACAACCGACUGUGCAAGUCAGCAAGUUGAGCCUUUCAAAUUUUUGGCCAGAAAUUGCCCGUUAUAUAGCAAGGUCAAAGCAAAAAUAAAAUACCUUUAGUAAAACUGCGUCUGCAGCUGGAACUGCCUCAAACAUGUCUCCUCCAACAUAUUUCAAGUUCCCACUGCCUUGCAGCCCAGCAACAACAUGUGGAAGAUCAAACGCAGUGCAUUCCAACUGUGGAAAUGCAUCAGCAAUGCCCUUGGCCACGGUUCCGGUGCCGCCCCCAACAUCCACCAGAGAAUUCAAUCCCUUAAACGCCUCCUUACACUCGUGAAUCAGAACGUUAGUAACCAAUCGAGCAUCACUAGCCAUGGCUUCUUUAAAAGAAUGGCCAAAGUUUGGGUCGACAUGGGCACCAUAGUCCCAAAACGACCUCCCAUGUGCGGUAACAAAUGGGGUAGGAUCAUCAUUUUGGAACCAGGUGCCAAGAAAAUGCCAAGGCUUUAUUACAACAGGAUCCAGAAUAGCUUUCAAAAGAGGUCUUACACUCAAGGGAUCACCCUUGAGCAGGAGUCGAGAAGCAUUAGUAAGAACAUACCCUUCUUCUUGGGGAUUUUCGCCUAGCUUUUGUUGUGCAAAGAAGCCAGAGUGAACUAAAAUGCGC
Molecule: long non-coding RNA, 9055 nt
Filed under: Durio zibethinus
Lineage: Eukaryota; Viridiplantae; Streptophyta; Magnoliopsida; Malvales; Malvaceae
Description: long non-coding RNA (DZIB_LNC002436)
Source: RNAcentral